Molecule: long non-coding RNA, 384 nt
Filed under: Rattus norvegicus (Norway rat)
Lineage: Eukaryota; Metazoa; Chordata; Mammalia; Rodentia; Muridae
Description: long non-coding RNA NONRATT022839
Source: RNAcentral
CUGAAAAGCAAGUCCCCCAGGGAGGAGCUGCUCAAGAUGUGGGGUGAGGAGCUCACCAGCGAAGAGAGUGUCUUUGAGGUCUUUGAGCACUACCUCUCAGGAGAGCCGAAUCGCCAUGGCUACAGAGUGAGUGGGUUACCUGCCUGCCCUGGAACGAUGAGCCCCUGGCGGCGGAAACCAGCCUGAUGAAGGAGGAGCUGCUCCGCGUGAACAGGCUGGGCAUCCUCACCAUCAACUCCCAGCCCAACAUCAACGGAAAGCCGUCCUCAGACCCUGUUGUAGGCUGGGGCCCCAGUGGGGGCUAUGUCUUCCAGAAGGCCUACCUCGAGUUCUUCACCUCCCGAGAAACCGUGGAGGCUCUUCUGCAAGUGUUGAAGACGUAUG